GAUCGGCCCGCGUCUGAUUAGCUAGUUGGUGAGGUAAUGGCUCACCAAGGCGACGAUCAGUAGCUGGUCUGAGAGGAUGAUCAGCCACAUUGGGACUGAGACACGGCCCAAACUCCUACGGGAGGCAGCAGUGGGGAAUAUUGGACAAUGGGCGCAAGCCUGAUCCAGCCAUGCCGCGUGAGUGAUGAAGGCCCUAGGGUUGUAAAGCUCUUUUGUGCGGGAAGAUAAUGACGGUACCGCAAGAAUAAGCCCCGGCUAACUUCGUGCCAGCAGCCGCGGUAAUACGAAGGGGGCUAGCGUUGCUCGGAAUCACUGGGCGUAAAGGGUGCGUAGGCGGGUCUUUAAGUCAGGGGUGAAAUCCUGGAGCUCAACUCCAGAACUGCCUUUGAUACUGAGGAUCUUGAGUUCGGGAGAGGUGAGUGGAACUGCGAGUGUAGAGGUGAAAUUCGCAGAUAUUCGCAAG
RNAcentral lists this ribosomal RNA (463 nucleotides) under uncultured Pseudomonadota bacterium. RNAcentral describes it as "bacterial SSU rRNA". It matches the Rfam family "Bacterial small subunit ribosomal RNA", at positions 224 to 704 of the family's 1533-position model. The record is from RNAcentral. Lineage: Bacteria; Pseudomonadati; Pseudomonadota.